UUUAUCCACCCAAAUCAAAUCUCCAAAUUGAAAUCCUAAUUACUCUCAUUUCUCUCUCUACCCAACCUCCAUUGAAGAGCAUUGAAGCUUGAAUAAGAAGACCAAUUCUCGAAGUUUUAUACUCAAAUUCAUGGCUAAAGUUUUCAUUAUGGUUAUUGGUUUGGGAUGAAGUCUUGAAUGGGUUUCAUGGAGGCCAUUCGAAAGACAUUCAAAGUCAUGAACUUGUUGUGGUAUAGUUGACUAUCUUUGGUAAUGUUUGUUAAUUGAAGUAUGAAUAAUGAAGUUAUGAGUGGAUGAUCAUGCUAUGACUAUGAUGGUUGUGAGAUGAUGAUAGUUGAGGGGUUAAAGGUAAUUCCUAUGUGCAUCUUAGGAUUAUACUAUGAUGUAAUGUUCUCACAUGAUGUUGGGUUGUGAUGAAAGAACUUUCUCAUCCUAAAACAAUUAGUUAUGAACUUGUUAUAUGAGGGGUUAAACUCCUAUGACCUAUAUUGUGAAUUAAUGUUAACGAAGACUUCAAGAUACUUCAAAAAGGGAAUUGUUGACAUUCAAUUUUGGCCUAACAUUUUCAAAAUUCGUAACUUUUAAACUUUAUUUAUUUAAUAGUUCAAAAUGGAUUUUUACAUUUAAUUAUGAAUAAGUUUAUCGAUAACUAUCUUUAUUUAUUAAAAUUUAGGAUUUUCUAUCAGUUAAUUAUAAAAUUGCAUUUCCACAUGUCAUCAAUUACGUUCAAUACUUUUUUAAUAUUUAUUUUAUUUGUUACAUUUGUUAAUAUAUAUUUUGAAAUUUUAUAUAAUAUAGAAACUUAUUGAAAUAUGCAUAAGAUUUUAUACACAAAUAUUUCAUCGACUAACAAUUUUUGGACCUCAAUCUUGAGUCAAUGGCCUAGGCCCAUUGUAUAACAAUUUCUAUUUAGGAUUUUAUUAAGUCAAAAAUAGCGUGUUGAAUUUAUUUUAGGAUAUUUUCAAAUUUUUAUCCACAAAAUAAUUUCACCAGUCAAAAAAAUUUAGACUGCCACCACCCCGAAAUCCGGCAACCCAAAACCCCAUCAUUUUCUCCUUUUUUUUUUCCGACAAAAUCCAACCGGAAUCAACUCCAAAACCCUCAUAAACGACCUCCCAAACCAACCAGCAGCUCAUCACAAACAAACUCCGUCAUUGUCUCUCCGUUUCCCUCCAAACAACAACCAAAUAACAACCAAACAGCCACCAGAAUACAACCCAAUCCAGCCAAACACACUCCGAAAUCAUCAGGAAAAUAGAACUAAAAACCCACCAGAUCUCCUCUUAAAUCACCACCUCUGCUCACCCUUUAAGCUUUACUCGAGUUAUUCCAUUAAUGGUGAACUCCGAGCUCCCAUCGUCCCAUUUUCCCCUCUCACCCGCUACAAACAAUGGCAACCCUCAAUUCCAUGCGAAUCAGAACCACCACCAUUUCCGACGAACGGAGAAACGACAACAACCACCUCUAAAACCCAAUGUUUUCGUAUUCGAUGCAACCAGUAGCUCCGGCGAGGAGCUCAAAGCUCCGAUGUACCGGAGCUAAAUAACACUAGACCUCUUUCCCUCUUCCCCUUAACGUUUUUUUGACAGGUGAACUACAAUCAGCGAGUUUGUGAACAAACAACGGCAACAACUAGAAGUUCUAAGGAUCAACGACAACCAGCUACAAGCUCCAGCGAAGAAUAAAAAUGACCACAUCCAGUCCUAAUACUCCAUUGAAGUGAGAUUUCACCGGAAAGAUUAGACUUCGGCCAAACAUCAUUUAAAAUGGUGAAAAUAUUUUUAAAUCUAUCAAUAUCAUGUCAUAUCACAAGUUGAAUGAACGAAAUGGGGUAGAUGCAGACGAGUUUGAGGACUACAGUAAGAAGAUCAUUGUACCCAAACAGUGGUUGAUGAAUUCAGACAGUUCAAAAGUCACAAAGAGUCGAAUUCAGAAGAGAUUGGAAUAAUGAAUCAAGAAAAUGAUGAAUGCAUCAAAGAAAUUAAAUUGGUGCCUAUCUGACAAUAGCACACGAGAGAGAUCUCAUCGGUUCGCUUAGCAAUCACAUCAAUACAUUUAUUUGAUGAUAUUAUAAGGUUGAGCAUGAACAUUAGGUCUCACAAGUCAUCAAUUUACUCAAAUGUUGUCGAAAGACAUCAUGUUGGAAAGCUUGAUUUCUAUCAUUUCCUUGUAAUCUCUUUUAUUCAUUUGUAAUAGUUAAGCUUAGAAUUUAUCCAUUUGUAAUGAACUACGUCUAACCUGAAUUCUCAAGAAUGAGAUACGUAGGUGGCCUAUGUUGGCCUCGGUCACCCCUUUUAUCCCUCUUAA
Solanum lycopersicum (tomato) is the source of this 2307-nucleotide non-coding RNA. Lineage: Eukaryota; Viridiplantae; Streptophyta; Magnoliopsida; Solanales; Solanaceae. The record is from RefSeq and is a predicted model, not a curated record.